AUCGUAACGGUUCAACUGGUACAGCACCAGCCUGGUAGGCUGGUUGUCUUCGGUUCGAUUCUGGCUUGCGAAG
This 73-nucleotide transfer RNA is filed under the name Fasciola gigantica. RNAcentral's name for it is "tRNA-Thr". Lineage: Eukaryota; Metazoa; Platyhelminthes; Trematoda; Plagiorchiida; Fasciolidae. The record is from RNAcentral.